GUUCAAUCUUGAACUUAAUUAAGUCGUUUUAGCAAAGUUAGACCGUAUCGACAUUUAGAUAUUAAUGGGAUAAUGCAUAUCUCUAAUCUAUUUUCAUCAGUGAUAGAAUACUUUUCAAAGUUGAUCAAAGUACUGAAAAUAUGCAAGCAUGUAGUAGCUGUAGUAAACAAUAAUUUGCACAUUGAUAACCGCUUAUAAUACGUCUUUUCUGCUAUCUCUACUGUUUUUAAUCAGACACAAGUUCGAAACAAACAAAAACUGGUUAUAUCUUAUAAAAAGAAUUCCAAACUCAAACCAAUGGAAGGGAUCAAGUAAAUGGUGG
RNAcentral lists this long non-coding RNA (322 nucleotides) under Mytilus galloprovincialis (Mediterranean mussel). Lineage: Eukaryota; Metazoa; Mollusca; Bivalvia; Mytilida; Mytilidae. The record is from RNAcentral.